Molecule: ribosomal RNA, 255 nt
Filed under: uncultured bacterium
Lineage: Bacteria
Description: partial 16S ribosomal RNA
Rfam family: Bacterial small subunit ribosomal RNA
Source: RNAcentral
GCAAGUCGAACGAGAACGGAUUAUAGCUUGCUAUAAUUGUCAGCUAAGUGGCGCACGGGUGAGUAAUAUAUAGGUAACAUGCCUUCAAGAAGGGGAUAACGUUUGGAAACGGACGCUAAAACCCUAUAUGCCUUUAAGACUUAAGUCUGCAAGGGAAAUAUUUAUAGCUUGAAGAUUGGCCUGUACAGUAGCAGUUAGUGGGUGAGGGAAUGGCGCACCAAGACAAUGACGCAUAACUGGUUUGAGAGGAUGAUC